UGAAUCUCACCGAGGUAAGUGGAUAGUGAAGGAUUUUAUUAUUGAUAAAUGAAUUUAUUAUGAAUUAUGCUUCAUUAGUCGUUUUUGUUUUCUACCAACCUUUACUACUGUGACAAUGAGAUAGUGUGACAUCUUUACUGGGCUAGUGUAGCUCAUUCCUUACUUAACCAUUUCAUAUAAGGAGGACUUGGUUCCCGAGCCCAUUCCGCAAGAAGAC
This 217-nucleotide long non-coding RNA is filed under the name Carica papaya (papaya). RNAcentral describes it as "long non-coding RNA (CPAP_LNC012323)". Lineage: Eukaryota; Viridiplantae; Streptophyta; Magnoliopsida; Brassicales; Caricaceae. The record is from RNAcentral.